Molecule: ribosomal RNA, 322 nt
Filed under: uncultured bacterium
Lineage: Bacteria
Description: bacterial SSU rRNA
Rfam family: Bacterial small subunit ribosomal RNA
Source: RNAcentral
GGUCCAAACUCCAAACGGGAGGCAGCAGUUGGGAAUCUUGGACAAUGGGGGAAACCCUGAUCCAGCCAUGCCGCGUGAGUGAUGAAGGCCUUCGGAUUGUAAAGCUCUUUCGACGGGGACGAUGAUGACGGUACCCGUAGAAGAAGCCCCGGCUAACUUCGUGCCAGCAGCCGCGGUAAUACGAAGGGGGCUAGCGUUGCUCGGAAUGACUGGGCGUAAAGGGCGCGUAGGCGGUUCGUACAGUCAGACGUGAAAUUCCCGGGCUCAACCUGUGGGCUGCGUUUGAUACGUGCGGGCUUGAGUUCGGAAGAGGGUCGUUGGA